Molecule: ribosomal RNA, 540 nt
Filed under: Proteus penneri
Lineage: Bacteria; Pseudomonadati; Pseudomonadota; Gammaproteobacteria; Enterobacterales; Morganellaceae
Description: partial 23S ribosomal RNA
Rfam family: Bacterial large subunit ribosomal RNA
Source: RNAcentral
GGUUAAGCGAAUAAGCGUACACGGUGGAUGCCUAGGCAAUCAGAGGCGAUGAAGGACGUGCUAAUCUGCGAUAAGCGUCGGUAAGGUGAUAUGAACCGUUAUACCCGACGAUUUCCGAAUGGGGAAACCCAAUAUCCAAUGGAUAUUAUCCUGACAUGAAUACAUAGUGUUAGGAAGCGAACCGGGAGAACUGAAACAUCUCAGUACCCCGAGGAAAAGAAAUCAACCGAGAUUCCCCUAGUAGCGGCGAGCGAACGGGGAACAGCCCAGAGUCUUAAUCAAUAGCAGCAUCAGGAGAACGGUCUGGAAAGUCCGGCAGUAAAGGGUGAUAGCCCCGUAUCCGAAGAUGCUGUUAUUGUGAACUCGACGAGUAGGGCGGGACACGUGUUAUCCUGUCUGAAUAUGGGGGGACCAUCCUCCAAGGCUAAAUACUCCUGAUUGACCGAUAGUGAACCAGUACCGUGAGGGAAAGGCGAAAAGAACCCCGGCGAGGGGAGUGAAAAAGAACCUGAAACCGUGUACGUACAAGCAGUAGGAGCC